This 265-nucleotide long non-coding RNA is filed under the name Fukomys damarensis (Damara mole-rat). RNAcentral's name for it is "lncRNA (ENSFDAG00000032680.1)". The record is from RNAcentral. Lineage: Eukaryota; Metazoa; Chordata; Mammalia; Rodentia; Bathyergidae.
GGGGUCUGGAAUCCUCCAGCCUGGACCAGCUUCCCUCCGCUGGUGCUGGUCGCACUCGGUGGUGGUGGGCUGGCCUGGGAGCUGCCCCUCACAGUGGGUAAGGUUAGCACAGCCAGAAAGGAGGCCCCGAAAAUGCUUGGUGCUUACACAAAGCUGCCAUCUGUCAAGAAGUGCUGGCCACUUAAACCUGGAGUGACUCAUACAGUCACUAAUUAAUCCCGGAAGGCAGCAGGAGCUAAGUGGAAAUGCAUUCUUUUAAAGAGAU